AGAGUUUGAUCCUGGCUCAGAUUGAACGCUGGCGGCAGGCCUAACACAUGCAAGUCGAGCGCGAAAGGCUUUCGGGCUGAGUAGAGCGGCGGACGGGUGAGUAACGCGUAGGAAUCUACCUGGUAGUGGGGGACAACUUGGGGAAACUCAAGCUAAUACCGCAUACGCCCCAAGGGGGAAAGCGGGGGACCUUCGGGCCUCGCGCUAUCGGAUGAGCCUGCGUAGGAUUAGCUUGUUGGUGAGGUAAAGGCUCACCAAGGCGACGAUCCUUAGCUGGUC
RNAcentral lists this ribosomal RNA (279 nucleotides) under uncultured bacterium. Its description in RNAcentral is "partial 16S ribosomal RNA". It matches the Rfam family "Bacterial small subunit ribosomal RNA", at positions 8 to 292 of the family's 1533-position model. The record is from RNAcentral.